GAUGAAGAACGCAGCGAAAUGCGAUAAGUAAUGUGAAUUGCAGAAUUCAGUGAAUCAUCGAAUCUUUGAACGCACAUUGCGCCCGCCAGUAUUCUGGCGGCCAUGCCUGUCUGAGCGUCAUUUCAACCCUCAUGCCCCUAGGGCGUGGUGUUGGGGAUCGGCCAAAGCCCGCGAGGGACGGCCGGCCCCUAAAUCUAGUGGCGGACCCGUCGUGGCCUCCUCUGCGAAGUAGUGAUAUUCCGCAUCGGAGAGCGAUGAGCCCCUGCCGUUAAACCCCCAACUUUCCAAGGUUGACCUCAGAUCAGGUAGGAAUACCCGCUGAACUUAAGCAUAUCAAUAAGCGGAGGA
This 348-nucleotide unclassified non-coding RNA is filed under the name soil metagenome. Its description in RNAcentral is "partial contains 5.8S ribosomal RNA, internal transcribed spacer 2, and large subunit ribosomal RNA". The stretch from base 1 to 120 matches the Rfam family "5.8S ribosomal RNA", at positions 35 to 154 of the family's 154-position model. The record is from RNAcentral.